Canis lupus familiaris (dog) is the source of this 792-nucleotide long non-coding RNA. RefSeq lists it as uncharacterized. Lineage: Eukaryota; Metazoa; Chordata; Mammalia; Carnivora; Canidae. The transcript has 3 exons. The record is from RefSeq and is a predicted model, not a curated record.
GAGACCGAUGCAGGACUCUAUCCUGGGUCCCCGGGGUCACGCCCUGGGCCAGAGGCAGAUGCUCGACCACUGAGCCACCCAGGCAUCCCAUGUUCUGUGGGUUUUUUGAGGUUUUAUUUUAAACCCCCUCUAGUCUCCUAGCAUUGCUGCCCUGCAGCAGCUUCCCUGGUGCAGACAUCUCCCGUGCCCUGGCCGCAGGAUUGCCGCUCGUCCCCGGGACUGCAAGCAGCCUCUCCAUCCUUGACCUCAUCCUGUCUGCAACUGUCUCCCCCAGUCUGGACACCUUUGAAGAGACCUGGCACUCUGGAGUUGGCCUCGGGCUCGGGGUGAUCCCGCAGAGCUGGCACCCUUGUCUUGGCCCCAUGUCGGGGUACUGGCCGCAGUGACCCAGGCCUGGAGUGCCCUUCCAUGUCCCCCGCCCACUGUCUCCUGGGAGAGGCUGGGCCACGCUCGGACCGGAGGGGUGUUGCUGUGCCGCAGGGUAGGGCCCCUGCCACGACCCGCAAGACCACGGGGGACCGGCCGAGCUUCUCCUGCGAGGGUGGCGCUGGCCCCGCGCUGCCUGCCGUCUGCCCUCCCUCUGCACCGCGGCGCUCACCACCGCAUCCCGCACUCAGUUCCAUGAGUCCGCGCCCCGCCUGGAGGGAGAGGCCUGUGGAGCCAGCUGCGAGCCUCCCCCGUGGACCCCGCCGGCAGCCGCUCCUCCUCCACCCCUGAGCCCACUGUCAAGAUCUCAUUUACUUAUUCAUGAGAGACACAGAGAGAGGCAGCGACACAGGCAGAGGGAGAAGC